UACGCAGGGGGCUAGCGUUGCUCGGAAUCACUGGGCGUAAAGGGUGCGUAGGCGGGGCUUUAAGUCAGGGGUGAAAUCCUGGAGCUCAACUCCAGAACUGCCUUUGAUACUGGCGAUCUCGAGUUCGGGAGAGGUGAGUGGAACUGCGAGUGUAGAGGUGAAAUUCGUAGAUAUUCGCAAGAACACCAGUGGCGAAGGCGGCUCACUGGCCCGGUACUGACGCUGAGGUGCGAAAGCGUGGGGAGCAAACAGG
RNAcentral lists this ribosomal RNA (253 nucleotides) under uncultured bacterium. RNAcentral describes it as "partial 16S ribosomal RNA". It matches the Rfam family "Bacterial small subunit ribosomal RNA", at positions 524 to 776 of the family's 1533-position model. The record is from RNAcentral.